RNAcentral lists this transfer RNA (118 nucleotides) under Penicillium subrubescens. It matches the Rfam family "tRNA". Rfam says of the family: Transfer RNA (tRNA) molecules are approximately 80 nucleotides in length. The record is from Rfam by way of RNAcentral. Lineage: Eukaryota; Fungi; Ascomycota; Eurotiomycetes; Eurotiales; Aspergillaceae.
GCCCGUGUGGCCAAGUGGCUAAGGCGUCGCACUUGUAUCGGUAUUACACACCAUACACUAAUGGAGAGAUCCAUGAAAAAAAUGCGAAGAUUCGGUGGUUCAAAUCCGCCCCCGGGCU